RNAcentral lists this ribosomal RNA (551 nucleotides) under uncultured bacterium. RNAcentral describes it as "bacterial SSU rRNA". It matches the Rfam family "Bacterial small subunit ribosomal RNA", at positions 355 to 896 of the family's 1533-position model. The record is from RNAcentral.
UGGGGAAUCUUGCGCAAUGGGGGAAACCCUGACGCAGCGACGCCGCGUGGAGGAUGAAGGCCUUCGGGUCGUAAAGCUCUGUCGGAUGGGAAGAAUCGUGUCGGUACGAACAAUACCGAUGCUUGACGGUACCACCGGAGGAAGCACCGGCUAACUCCGUGCCAGCAGCCGCGGUAAUACGGAGGGUGCAAGCGUUGUUCGGAAUUACUGGGCGUAAAGCGCGUGUAGGCGGUCAGGCAAGUCAGAUGUGAAAGCCUUUCGCUUAACGGAAGAAUUGCAUUUGAAACUACCUGGCUGGAGUUCGGGAGAGGAGGGUGGAAUUCCCGGUGUAGAGGUGAAAUUCGUAGAUAUCGGGAGGAACACCGGUGGCGAAGGCGGCCCUCUGGUCCGAUACUGACGCUGAGACGCGAAAGCGUGGGGAGCAAACAGGAUUAGAUACCCUGGUAGUCCACGCGGUAAACGAUGGGCACUAGGUGUAGGAGGUAUUGACCCCUUCUGUGCCGAAGCUAACGCAUUAAGUGCCCCGCCUGGGGAGUACGGCCGCAAGGCUA